GGCCUCUUGCCAUCGGAUGUGCCCAGAUGGGAUUAGCUAGUAGGUGGGGUAACGGCUCACCUAGGCGACGAUCCCUAGCUGGUCUGAGAGGAUGACCAGCCACACUGGAACUGAGACACGGUCCAGACUCCUACGGGAGGCAGCAGUGGGGAAUAUUGCACAAUGGGCGCAAGCCUGAUGCAGCCAUGCCGCGUGUAUGAAGAAGGCCUUCGGGUUGUAAAGUACUUUCAGCGGGGAGGAAGGGAGUAAAGUUAAUACCUUUGCUCAUUGACGUUACCCGCAGAAGAAGCACCGGCUAACUCCGUGCCAGCAGCCGCGGUAAUACGGAGGGUGCAAGCGUUAAUCGGAAUUACUGGGCGUAAAGCGCACGCAGGCGGUUUGUUAAGUCAGAUGUGAAAUCCCCGGGCUCAACCUGGGAACUGCAUCUGAUACUGGCAAGCUUGAGUCUCGUAGAGGGGGGUAGAAUUCCAGGUGUAGCGGUGAAAUGCGUAGAGAUCUGGAGGAAUACCGGUGGCGAAGGCGGCCCCCUGGACGAAGACUGACGCUCAGGUGCGAAAGCGUGGGGAGCAAACAGGAUU
RNAcentral lists this ribosomal RNA (578 nucleotides) under Shigella flexneri. RNAcentral's name for it is "bacterial SSU rRNA". It matches the Rfam family "Bacterial small subunit ribosomal RNA", at positions 209 to 779 of the family's 1533-position model. Lineage: Bacteria; Pseudomonadati; Pseudomonadota; Gammaproteobacteria; Enterobacterales; Enterobacteriaceae. The record is from RNAcentral.